This is a long non-coding RNA of Nicotiana attenuata, 1607 nucleotides long. RefSeq lists it as uncharacterized. The record is from RefSeq and is a predicted model, not a curated record. The transcript is spliced from 2 exons. Lineage: Eukaryota; Viridiplantae; Streptophyta; Magnoliopsida; Solanales; Solanaceae.
AGGGAUACUGAGGGUCGAAUUUGACCCUAUACAGCUUGAAAAAACGUUUUUUUUUUUAAAGUGCACUCCUGAUUUUACAUAGAAAAACAUUCAUGCAUCUCCUAGGUAAGGCAAAAAAUUACACUAACUAUAGCUUAGACUUCAACAAUGGGCAGUUGACCAGUAGUAGUACAAUUGAACAGUUGAAUUUCCUAAAAGGAUCCAGAUUUGACUCCGAUGAUACUUUAUUUGUUAGUGAUAUCUGAGUCUGAUGAAUAUGUAAUUUCUAGAAUAAUUUUAAGGUACCAAAGAAGCAACGUGGAAAUGUCCAAAGUCCAAACCAAUGGGAAGCAUCUUCUUAGUUUAACACGUCUGAGUGUUGACAAUUAUAUCCCAACAUAGGAGUAUAAAAUUUCAACAUAGACUUCUACAUAGUUCUUCUUACCAUUGUUGGUUAUUGGUUAGUCAGCUAAUUAAUCAUUGUAGUCACCACAAAUCUUUUCCUCGCAUUCUAAUUUACUUUGAAGUUUUUUUAAAAGGUGGCGUUUGGAUUUUUUUGAGAAAACUGAUUUUGAAAGUAAUUCUAGAAGAUAGGAAAUGUGUAUGAAGCAUACUUCGGAAGAGAUUAACCCAACUUUAAUCUCUUGCUGAUUAUGCGGGUCCAAGGUGGCAUAUGAGGUGUCCUCCAUGUCAUUCUGAUGAGUCACAACAAUACUCCCGUCAUGCAACGGAACCUUAUCCUCAACCUCAAGGUUCAGAGAAGAAUCAGGGCCAGGGUCAGUCAUAUCUCCAACACAACGUUUGAGCAUUGAAAUGUGGAAGACAUGAUGAAUACGAGCAGCUUCGGGUAACUCCAACUUGUAAGCAACCUCUCCAAUGCAUUUAAGAAUUUUAAAUGGGCCAAAGUAGUGCCUACCCACUUUUGGAUGUUGUUGAAAGCUUCACUAGGACUGCUGCCCAAGAUAUAUGGUGCCACGGUUGGAGGAUCUCGCCCAUAUAUAGCUCCAAAUGGGGUCAUCCCUCCAGAGGAAGUUUUCGUUUUUCUCUCCAAUGGAGGUUUCAACGCCACACAAGAUGAUAACCAGAGGUAUACCCACCAAAAUUCUCAAUUUUGAUGGGCCCUCUUUCUCGUUGCAAAUAACACAAACGGAGUCGGAUUUUGCAGGUUUAUCAGCAACUACAGCUUCAGAGAGAAGAACUAAAUUACACAAAGACAAAUCACUACAAAAAAAAUCAACUUUAGCGACGGACGAAUUCCGUAGCUAAAUAGUGUAUUUUCGUCGCUAAACGGGUUUAGCAACGGAAUAGCGACAGAUUUGUAUCCGUCGCUACUUUGCUCGUAGCUAACCACUUACUAACGAAAAAAAUUGAAUCCGUCGGUAAGGUAGCGACGAAUUAGCUACGGUUCGUAUCUGUUGCUACUCUUAGCGACAAACAUGUCCGUCGCAAAUAUCAUCAAUUUUGUCGCCAAAUCGACAAGUCAUUUCGUCGUCGGUAUUAAUUGGUGACGAAUUUUUUCUGUCGCUAAUGUUGUUGAGACAUAUUUGCCUUUCUUUUGGCGACGAAUUUAUUUUGUCGCAACCUGUUAUUCUAUAUUAGUUAUAGCUACGAAAAAAAUUCGUCGCAAA